GACGAACGCUGGCGGCGUGCUUAACACAUGCAAGUCGAACGGUGAAGCUCCAGCUUGCUGGAGUGGAUCAGUGGCGAACGGGUGAGUAACACGUGAGCAACCUGCCCCUGACUCUGGAAUAAGCGCUGGAAACGGCGUCUAAUACUGGAUACGAGAAGGGUCCGCAUGGGCACUUUCUGGAAAGUUUUUCGGUUGGGGAUGGGCUCGCGGCCUAUCAGCUUGUUGGUGAGGUAAUGGCUCACCAAGGCGACGACGGGUAGCCGGCCUGAGGGGGCGACCGGCCCCCACGGGACUGGAACCCCGCCCGACACCCUCCGGGGGGACGCGGUGGGGAAAAUUGCAACAGGGGGCAAAGCCGGAUUCAGCAGCCCCGGGGUGGGGAUUACGGCCUUCGGGUUGAAAACCCCUUUCCGCAGGGAAAAAGGAAAAGGGACCGGACCCGCCAAAGAAGCCCCGGCGAACGACG
This 466-nucleotide ribosomal RNA is filed under the name uncultured bacterium. RNAcentral's name for it is "partial 16S ribosomal RNA". It matches the Rfam family "Bacterial small subunit ribosomal RNA", at positions 28 to 505 of the family's 1533-position model. The record is from RNAcentral.